AUGGAGCACCUCAUAUCAAUACUUUUACUUCUGCUUCUACUUACUGCUAUUAUUAUUUUUAUCAGUGCACAAAGUGAUGGCAUAUCUGAUCAUGUAGGAGUUGAAAGCUAGAGGAAUUAACAAUGAGCACACUCUUGCUUAUCAGAGUCGAGUGGGCCCGGUACAGUGGUUGAAACCAUAUACAGAUGAAACUCUCGUUGAGCUUGGUCAGAAAAGUGUGAGGAGUCUUUUAGCUGUUCUAGUGAGCUUUGUGAGUGAGCACAUAGUGACCCUUGAAGAAAUUGACAUAGAGUACAGGAAGUUGGCUCUUGAAUCUGGCAUCAAAUAUUGGGCGUGUGUUCCUGCUCUUGGUCUCAGCCCUUCCUUCAUUACAGACCUAGCAGAUGCAGUGAUAGAAGAUCUUCCAUCUGCAAAAGCAAUGUAUGCAUCUACCAGCACUUCUGAAGAAGAGCAUGACCCACUUAGGUACUUGGUCAAGAUGUUCUUUGGUUCAAUAUUGGCAUUCAUCUUGUUUCGGUCACCUAGAAU
This is a non-coding RNA of Arachis ipaensis, 528 nucleotides long. NCBI's taxonomy places the organism in Eukaryota, Viridiplantae, Streptophyta, Magnoliopsida, Fabales, Fabaceae. The record is from RefSeq and is a predicted model, not a curated record.